This 1508-nucleotide ribosomal RNA is filed under the name Escherichia coli. RNAcentral's name for it is "partial 23S ribosomal RNA". It matches the Rfam family "Bacterial large subunit ribosomal RNA", at positions 397 to 1890 of the family's 2925-position model. The record is from RNAcentral. Lineage: Bacteria; Pseudomonadati; Pseudomonadota; Gammaproteobacteria; Enterobacterales; Enterobacteriaceae.
CUGUGAGCUCGAUGAGUAGGGCGGGACACGUGGUAUCCUGUCUGAAUAUGGGGGGACCAUCCUCCAAGGCUAAAUACUCCUGACUGACCGAUAGUGAACCAGUACCGUGAGGGAAAGGCGAAAAGAACCCCGGCGAGGGGAGUGAAAAAGAACCUGAAACCGUGUACGUACAAGCAGUGGGAGCACGCUUAGGCGUGUGACUGCGUACCUUUUGUAUAAUGGGUCAGCGACUUAUAUUCUGUAGCAAGGUUAACCGAAUAGGGGAGCCGAAGGGAAACCGAGUCUUAACUGGGCGUUAAGUUGCAGGGUAUAGACCCGAAACCCGGUGAUCUAGCCAUGGGCAGGUUGAAGGUUGGGUAACACUAACUGGAGGACCGAACCGACUAAUGUUGAAAAAUUAGCGGAUGACUUGUGGCUGGGGGUGAAAGGCCAAUCAAACCGGGAGAUAGCUGGUUCUCCCCGAAAGCUAUUUAGGUAGCGCCUCGUGAAUUCAUCUCCGGGGGUAGAGCACUGUUUCGGCAAGGGGGUCAUCCCGACUUACCAACCCGAUGCAAACUGCGAAUACCGGAGAAUGUUAUCACGGGAGACACACGGCGGGUGCUAACGUCCGUCGUGAAGAGGGAAACAACCCAGACCGCCAGCUAAGGUCCCAAAGUCAUGGUUAAGUGGGAAACGAUGUGGGAAGGCCCAGACAGCCAGGAUGUUGGCUUAGAAGCAGCCAUCAUUUAAAGAAAGCGUAAUAGCUCACUGGUCGAGUCGGCCUGCGCGGAAGAUGUAACGGGGCUAAACCAUGCACCGAAGCUGCGGCAGCGACGCUUAUGCGUUGUUGGGUAGGGGAGCGUUCUGUAAGCCUGCGAAGGUGUGCUGUGAGGCAUGCUGGAGGUAUCAGAAGUGCGAAUGCUGACAUAAGUAACGAUAAAGCGGGUGAAAAGCCCGCUCGCCGGAAGACCAAGGGUUCCUGUCCAACGUUAAUCGGGGCAGGGUGAGUCGACCCCUAAGGCGAGGCCGAAAGGCGUAGUCGAUGGGAAACAGGUUAAUAUUCCUGUACUUGGUGUUACUGCGAAGGGGGGACGGAGAAGGCUAUGUUGGCCGGGCGACGGUUGUCCCGGUUUAAGCGUGUAGGCUGGUUUUCCAGGCAAAUCCGGAAAAUCAAGGCUGAGGCGUGAUGACGAGGCACUACGGUGCUGAAGCAACAAAUGCCCUGCUUCCAGGAAAAGCCUCUAAGCAUCAGGUAACAUCAAAUCGUACCCCAAACCGACACAGGUGGUCAGGUAGAGAAUACCAAGGCGCUUGAGAGAACUCGGGUGAAGGAACUAGGCAAAAUGGUGCCGUAACUUCGGGAGAAGGCACGCUGAUAUGUAGGUGAAGUCCCUCGCGGAUGGAGCUGAAAUCAGUCGAAGAUACCAGCUGGCUGCAACUGUUUAUUAAAAACACAGCACUGUGCAAACACGAAAGUGGACGUAUACGGUGUGACGCCUGCCCGGUGCCGGAAGGUUAAUUGAUGGGGU